Molecule: ribosomal RNA, 409 nt
Filed under: Candidatus Eiseniibacteriota bacterium
Lineage: Bacteria; Candidatus Eiseniibacteriota
Description: partial 23S ribosomal RNA
Rfam family: Bacterial large subunit ribosomal RNA
Source: RNAcentral
GGCACCUCGAUGUCGGCUCAUCGCAUCCUGGGGCUGGAGAAGGUCCCAAGGGUUUGGCUGUUCGCCAAUUAAAGCGGUACGUGAGCUGGGUUUAGAACGUCGUGAGACAGUUCGGUCCCUAUCCGUCGUGGGCGGAGGAGAUCUGAGGGGAGCUGUCCCUCGUACGAGAGGACUGGGAUGGACCAACCUCUAGUGUACCGGUUGUCGCGCCAGCGGCACCGCCGGGUAGCUAUGUUGGGCCCGGAUAAGCGCUGAAAGCAUCUAAGUGCGAAGCCAACCCCAAGAUGAGAUCUCCCGCGAUCGCGAGAUCCCUAAAGGCCCCUUCUAGACGAGAAGGUUGAUAGGCCGCAGGUGUACGCACAGUAAUGUGUUCAGCCGAGCGGUACUAAUCGGCCGUGCGGCUUGGUCG